AUUGAACGCUGGCGGCAGGCCUAACACAUGCAAGUCGAACGGUAACAGGAAACAGCUUGCUGUUUCGCUGACGAGUGGCGGACGGGUGAGUAAUGUCUGGGAAACUGCCUGAUGGAGGGGGAUAACUACUGGAAACGGUAGCUAAUACCGCAUAACGUCGCAAGACCAAAGAGGGGGACCCUCGGGCCUCUUGCCAUCGGAUGUGCCCAGAUGGGAUUAGCUUGUUGGUGGGGUAACGGCUCACCAAGGCGACGAUCCCUAGCUGGUCUGAGAGGAUGACAAGACACACAGGAAGUGAGAAACGGUCCAGGACCGCAGGGGAGACAGGAGGGGGAAAUAUUGCCAAAGGGGGGAAAGCCUGAGACACCCAGGCGGGGGGAAAAAAAAAGGCCUUCGGGUUGUAAAGUAAUUUCAGGGGGGGGAAGGGGAGAAAAGUUAAAACCUUUGCCCAUUGCGUUAACCGGCAAAAAAAGCACGGGCAAACCCGGG
This 489-nucleotide ribosomal RNA is filed under the name uncultured bacterium. RNAcentral's name for it is "partial 16S ribosomal RNA". It matches the Rfam family "Bacterial small subunit ribosomal RNA", at positions 29 to 506 of the family's 1533-position model. The record is from RNAcentral.